GAUGAACGCUGGCGGCGUGCCUAAUACAUGCAAGUCGAGCGAACAGAUAAGGAGCUUGCUCCUUUGACGUUAGCGGCGGACGGGUGAGUAACACGUGGAUAACCUACCUAUAAGACUGGGAUAACUUCGGGAAACCGGAGCUAAUACCGGAUAACAUAUUGAACCGCAUGGUUCAAUAGUGAAAGGCGGCUUUGCUGUCACUUAUAGAUGGAUCCGAGCCGUAUUAGCUAGUUGGUAAGGUAACGGCUUACCAAGGCAACGAUACGUAGCCGACCUGAGAGGGUGAUCGGCCACACUGGAACUGAGACACGGUCCAGACUCCGACGGGAGGCAACAGUAGGGAAUCUUCCGCGAUGGGCGAGUGCCUGACGGAGCAACGCCGCGUGAGUGAUGAAGGUCUUCGGAUCGUAAAGCUCUGUUAGCAGGGGAGAACAAAUGUGUAAGUGACUGUGCACAUCUUGACGGUACCUGAUCAGAAAGCCACGGCUAACUACGUG
RNAcentral lists this ribosomal RNA (497 nucleotides) under uncultured bacterium. RNAcentral describes it as "partial 16S ribosomal RNA". It matches the Rfam family "Bacterial small subunit ribosomal RNA", at positions 28 to 507 of the family's 1533-position model. The record is from RNAcentral.